This is a long non-coding RNA of Haplochromis burtoni (Burton's mouthbrooder), 287 nucleotides long. RefSeq lists it as uncharacterized. The transcript has 2 exons. Lineage: Eukaryota; Metazoa; Chordata; Actinopteri; Cichliformes; Cichlidae. The record is from RefSeq and is a predicted model, not a curated record.
UUGUGCUGCCCCUUUAAGGCAGGCAUGAUCAUUUGGGUGUGUGUUUUUUGUACCAGCAGACUUGCCGUAGUACCUCACCAGUGAAAAACAGUCCUUUAGACAAACUGUCGUCUGUUCCACUUUUUGUUCACUUUUUCUUGCUGAGCCUGAGAGAGCACAUGCCUUUUUACAGUGCUUCAACAGUAAACAUCUAAAACGUAUCCGCUGACUCCUGGAUGUUUAUUGUGGACCUGUUAGCUAUCUGCCAAGCUAGAAACCAGCUUUACACCCUAGUGAGGGCAGAAUAG